This 253-nucleotide ribosomal RNA is filed under the name uncultured bacterium. RNAcentral's name for it is "partial 16S ribosomal RNA". It matches the Rfam family "Bacterial small subunit ribosomal RNA", at positions 524 to 776 of the family's 1533-position model. The record is from RNAcentral.
UACGUAGGGUGCAAGCGUUGUCCGGAAUUAUUGGGCGUAAAGAGCUCGUAGGCGGUUUGUCGCGUCUGCUGUGAAAACCUAAGGCUCAACCUUGGGCUUGCAGUGGGUACGGGCAGACUAGAGUGCGGUAGGGGUGACUGGAAUUCCUGGUGUAGCGGUGAAAUGCGCAGAUAUCAGGAGGAACACCCGUAGCGAAGGCGGCACUCUGGGCCGAUACUGACACUGAGGAGCGAAAGCGUGGGGAGCGAACAGG